This 1076-nucleotide ribosomal RNA is filed under the name Burkholderia sp. RNAcentral's name for it is "bacterial SSU rRNA". It matches the Rfam family "Bacterial small subunit ribosomal RNA", at positions 38 to 1108 of the family's 1533-position model. The record is from RNAcentral. Lineage: Bacteria; Pseudomonadati; Pseudomonadota; Betaproteobacteria; Burkholderiales; Burkholderiaceae.
GGCGGCAUGCUUAACAUGCAAGUCGAACGGCAGCACGGGUGCUUGCACCUGGUGGCGAGUGGCGAACGGGUGAGUAAUACAUCGGAACAUGUCCUGUAGUGGGGGAUAGCCCGGCGAAAGCCGGAUUAAUACCGCAUACGAUCUACGGAUGAAAGCGGGGGACCUUCGGGCCUCGCGCUAUAGGGUUGGCCGAUGGCUGAUUAGCUAGUUGGUGGGGUAAAGGCCUACCAAGGCGACGAUCAGUAGCUGGUCUGAGAGGACGACCAGCCACACUGGGACUGAGACACGGCCCAGACUCCUACGGGAGGCAGCAGUGGGGAAUUUUGGACAAUGGGCGAAAGCCUGAUCCAGCAAUGCCGCGUGUGUGAAGAAGGCCUUCGGGUUGUAAAGCACUUUUGUCCGGAAAGAAAUCCUUGGCUCUAAUACAGUCGGGGGAUGACGGUACCGGAAGAAUAAGCACCGGCUAACUACGUGCCAGCAGCCGCGGUAAUACGUAGGGUGCGAGCGUUAAUCGGAAUUACUGGGCGUAAAGCGUGCGCAGGCGGUUUGCUAAGACCGAUGUGAAAUCCCCGGGCUCAACCUGGGAACUGCAUUGGUGACUGGCAGGCUAGAGUAUGGCAGAGGGGGGUAGAAUUCCACGUGUAGCAGUGAAAUGCGUAGAGAUGUGGAGGAAUACCGAUGGCGAAGGCAGCCCCCUGGGCCAAUACUGACGCUCAUGCACGAAAGCGUGGGGAGCAAACAGGAUUAGAUACCCUGGUAGUCCACGCCCUAAACGAUGUCAACUAGUUGUUGGGGAUUCAUUUCCUUAGUAACGUAGCUAACGCGUGAAGUUGACCGCCUGGGGAGUACGGUCGCAAGAUUAAAACUCAAAGGAAUUGACGGGGACCCGCACAAGCGGUGGAUGAUGUGGAUUAAUUCGAUGCAACGCGAAAAACCUUACCUACCCUUGACAUGGUCGGAAUCCCGCUGAGAGGUGGGAGUGCUCGAAAGAGAACCGGCGCACAGGUGCUGCAUGGCUGUCGUCAGCUCGUGUCCUGAGAUGUUGGGUUAAGUCCCGCAACGAGCGCAACCCUUGU